RNAcentral lists this ribosomal RNA (443 nucleotides) under uncultured bacterium. Its description in RNAcentral is "partial 16S ribosomal RNA". It matches the Rfam family "Bacterial small subunit ribosomal RNA", at positions 338 to 795 of the family's 1533-position model. The record is from RNAcentral.
CCUACGGGUGGCAGCAGUGGGGAAUAUUGGGCAAUGGAGGCAACUCUGACGCAGCAACGCCGCGUGAGUGAUGAAGUUCUUCGGAUUGUAAAGCUCUAUUCUAAGGGAAGAAAAAGGUGGCAGUUCCUUAAGAAUACGCCUCGGCUAACUACGUGCCAGCAGCCGCGGUAAUACGUAGGAGGCAAGCGUUAUCCGGAAUGACUGGGCGUAAAGGGGUCGUAGGUGGUUUGACAAGUCGGUAGCGUAACGCCGGGGCUUAACCUCGGAACUGCUUCGAAAACUGUUGUACUAGAGUGCAGGAGGGGUAAGUGGAAUUCCUAGUGUAGCGGUGGAAUGCGUAGAUAUUAGGAGGAACACCAGUGGCGAAGGCGAGUUGCUGGACUGUAACUGACAUUGAGGCACGAAAGCGUGGGGAGCAAACAGGAUUAGAUACCCUUGUAGUC